GAGUGAAAAAGAACCUGAAACCGUGUACGUACAAGCAGUGGGAGCCCCACCACCAAAGCAUUCUCUGGUGUUGAAGGCCCUGCAAAGCAGCAUCGCGGUGGCGGAGCGUCGUUUGCGACGCCCAACACACAAAACAAGCGGUGAGUGCUUUGGGGUGGGGUGACUGCGUACCUUUUGUAUAAUGGGUCAGCGACUUAUAUUCUGUAGCAAGGUUAACCGUAUAGGGGAGCCGCAGGGAAACCGAGUCUUAACCGGGCGUUAAGUUGCAGGGUAUAGACCCGAAACCCGGUGAUCUAGCCAUGGGCAGGUUGAAGGUUGGGUAACACUAACUGGAGGACCGAACCGACUAAUGUUGAAAAAUUAGCGGAUGACCUGUGGCUGGGGGUGAAAGGCCAAUCAAACCGGGAGAUAGCUGGUUCUCCCCGAAAGCUAUUUAGGUAGCGCCUCGUGAAUUCAUCUCCGGGGGUAGAGCACUGUUUCGGCUAGGGGGCCAUCCCGGCUUACCAACCCGAUGCAAACUGCGAAUACCGGAGAAUGUUAUCACGGGAGACACACGGCGGGUGCUAACGUCCGUCGUGAAGAGGGAAACAACCCAGACCGCCAGCUAAGGUCCCAAAGUCAUGGUUAAGUGGGAAACGAUGUGGGAAGGCCCAGACAGCCAGGAUGUUGGCUUAGAAGCAGCCAUCAUUUAAAGAAAGCGUAAUAGCUCACUGGUCGAGUCGGCCUGCGCGGAAGAUGUAACGGGGCUAAACCAU
RNAcentral lists this ribosomal RNA (755 nucleotides) under Salmonella enterica subsp. enterica serovar Tees. Its description in RNAcentral is "partial 23S ribosomal RNA". It matches the Rfam family "Bacterial large subunit ribosomal RNA", at positions 536 to 1190 of the family's 2925-position model. The record is from RNAcentral. Lineage: Bacteria; Pseudomonadati; Pseudomonadota; Gammaproteobacteria; Enterobacterales; Enterobacteriaceae.